Molecule: long non-coding RNA, 857 nt
Organism: Scophthalmus maximus (turbot)
Lineage: Eukaryota; Metazoa; Chordata; Actinopteri; Pleuronectiformes; Scophthalmidae
Exons: 3
Source: RefSeq, a predicted model, not a curated record
UGUGUUGCUCUCUAAUUCCUCUGCAGGCUCAAUUACACAAUUUCCCACCCCCUGAUGAGCUCAUGUGGUUUAAUCUACAAGCUUGUCCACGAGUCUGAAAAAUAAAUUUGUACUGCCACCGAUGACGCAUGGGGAAACCUUAGUGACACUGUAGCUACUACCAUAGCAUUUACACACAAGAUGCUGUAACACCUGCUGCUAAUCCUAUUACACAAAACAUCUUGUAGCUCAAUCAUGCAACUAAACAAUCAACCAUCUUGUUUGAGGGAACGUCCGCAGGGUUUCUGAGUGAAAAUCAGGGAACAAAAUUCAAAACUGAGAGGAGGAAUGAGGAAUUUUUUCAAGUCCAAAUGAGCACAUUUAUUUAACUGUUUUUGUCUAUGUUAAAGUAACCUUCAGAAAAAAACCUAUCAAAGCAGAUUACAUCUUCUACAUCUCAAGUCCUUGCUUCAAGUUUGCUCCAUGUUUCUGUUUCCACAUUUUCAUUGUAGUCCUUCAUAUUUGCCCCAACCACCAACCAUGGCAAGAAAAACGAGAUACAUCUCCAUUCUCUCUCGUCACUGGCUGCACAUUAACAUGUAUCAGUACCAUUGAAAGAAGCCGUGUCCAAGCCCUCUGACCAUGAGCUGCCUGAAAGCCACUGUGAAGUUCAGAGCUCCUGUACUGUUCACUCACACAUCCACCUCCAGCUGCUCCGGAAAUCUCUUCAGGGAAGAAAGUGAUGCACCCGUCAUCUCAUCUGUGUCAUUGCUUCUGCAGAACACCCCAACGCUGUCCACUGAUCUACAGACGCAGUUUGGUGUCUCGCUGCAGUCAGUCCCCACAACUACCACAAGAGGGCGCUGGCUAUGCAGGUU